This 200-nucleotide unclassified non-coding RNA is filed under the name soil metagenome. RNAcentral's name for it is "partial contains internal transcribed spacer 2 and large subunit ribosomal RNA". The record is from RNAcentral.
UGUCACAAACGACUCGUCUGAAAUGCCUGAGUGUACCCUGCCUUGCGGCGUAUUCGGUGUGAUACAUCUUUCACCGGAGUCUCGACUUUUGGGUCGGCGCUUGUAUGGUUUGGCUCUAUGCUUUCGAACCGUCCGUGACAAGGACAAAAUAACUCUGACAAUUUGACCUCAAAUCGGGUGGGACUACCCGCUGAACUUAA